AGUCAUAUGCUUGUCUCAAAGAUUAAGCCAUGCAUGUCUCAGUAUAAGCUUCUACACGGCGAAACUGCGAAUGGCUCAUUAAAACAGUUAUCGUUUAUUUGGUGGUCAUUCAUUACAUGGAUAACCAUGGUAAUUCUAGAGCUAAUACAUGCGCCCAGACCCAACUUUGUGGAAGGGUUGUGUUUAUUAGUUACAGAACCAACCCAGGCUCUGCCUGGUCUUGUGGUGAUUCAUAAUAACCGAAUGAAUCGCAUUGCAUCAGCUGGCGAUGAAUCAUUCAAGUUUCNGACCUAUCAGCUUCCGACGGUAGGUAUUGGCCUACCGUGGCAAUGACGGGUAA
This 340-nucleotide ribosomal RNA is filed under the name uncultured eukaryote. RNAcentral describes it as "SSU rRNA". It matches the Rfam family "Eukaryotic small subunit ribosomal RNA", at positions 22 to 362 of the family's 1831-position model. The record is from RNAcentral.